CAGGGAUAUCUGAUUAUUACUACUUUUAAACUAGGGGCUUCAAGUAAAAGGAAAAGAAGUGUUUCUCCAUAGACAAUAGUGCAGUACUUCAGAAUCAGUGUUAAUCUUAGCAAUACAGGAUGACCAUCCCUUAACCAAAAUGCUUAGGACCAGUAGUGUUUUGGAUUUCAGAGUUUUUGAAUUUUUGAAUAUUUGCAUAUAUAGAAUGAAUAUCUUGGGCAUGGGACCCAAGUCUAAACAUGGAAUUCAUUAUUGUUUCCUAUACACCUUGUGCACAUAGCUGGAAGCUAAUUUUAUUCAAUGUUUUAGUGAGCGUGCGUUCUCACUGCCACCUAUCACAUGAGGUGAGAUGUGAUGUCAUGUCGGUGCCCAGAAAGUUGGAGAUUUUGAAGCGCUUUGCAUUUUUGGAUUAGAGAUGCUCAACCUAUAGUUGAAUCCAACUGAUGGAUUUUGUAGAUGAAUGAACUGAUGUCCAGGCAACUUGGUGGUAGAGCAGAGUUUUAAACUCCAGUGACAGACCCAAGGCUGUGACAUUAAUUUUUUUGCAACACCUGUCCUAUCUGUUUUCUCUUUUCUCCCUCCCUCUUCUCCUUAUCACUGGCUACUCAUCACCCUGUAAGCAUGCCAGAGUGGAUGUGAUAAGAAGGGUUAGACUUCAGUUAUAGAAAACCAACAAUCUUUGC
This 683-nucleotide long non-coding RNA is filed under the name Marmota monax (woodchuck). Lineage: Eukaryota; Metazoa; Chordata; Mammalia; Rodentia; Sciuridae. The record is from RNAcentral.